RNAcentral lists this small RNA (404 nucleotides) under Histoplasma capsulatum var. duboisii H88. RNAcentral's name for it is "Histoplasma capsulatum H88 hypothetical RNA". The record is from RNAcentral. Lineage: Eukaryota; Fungi; Ascomycota; Eurotiomycetes; Onygenales; Ajellomycetaceae.
GCACAGAGUUUAAAGUCUGGCGACAGUGAAAUGGCUGUUGUGACCGGCGGAAGUGUCAUUAGCCACGUUGGAGAUAUUAUCGCAUUUAGCCAUUCUGGUGUUCUUGGCCCAUCAGGCAAAUGUUUCACAUUCGAUCACAGAGCUGAAGGUAUGCUCGUGGAGAAGGCGUGGGAACUAUCAUAGUCAAGAGGCUAUCAGAUGCACUUAAAGACGGAAACACUAUACGAGCGGUCAUUCGCGGAACCCUCGUGAACCAGGACGGCCGAACACCAGGCAUUGCCCUUCCAAGCGCUCAGGCACAAGAAACACUAAUUCGCCAACUCUAUAGCAAUGCGAAAUUGGACCCCAGGGACACAAUGUUUGUUGAAGCACACGGAACUGGCACACCCGUAGGAGACCCCAUU